GACGAACGCUGGCGGCGUGCUUAACACAUGCAAGUCGAACGGAAAGGCCCUGCUUUUGUGGGGUGCUCGAGUGGCGAACGGGUGAGUAACACGUGAGUAACCUGCCCUUGACUUUGGGAUAACUUCAGGAAACUGGGGCUAAUACCGGAUAGGAGCUCCUGCUGCAUGGUGGGGGUUGGAAAGUUUCGGCGGUUGGGGAUGGACUCGCGGCUUAUCAGCUUGUUGGUGGGGUAGUGGCUUACCAAGGCUUUGACGGGUAGCCGGCCUGAGAGGGUGACCGGCCACAUUGGGACUGAGAUACGGCCCAGACGCAUACGGGAGGCAGCAGUGGGGAAUAUUGCACAAUGGGCGGAAGCCUGAUGCAGCAACGCCGCGUGCGGGAUGACGGCCUUCGGGUUGUAAACCGCUUUCGCCUGUGACGAAGCGUGAGUGACGGUAAUGGGGAAAGAAGCACCGGCUAACUACGU
Molecule: ribosomal RNA, 467 nt
Filed under: uncultured bacterium
Lineage: Bacteria
Description: partial 16S ribosomal RNA
Rfam family: Bacterial small subunit ribosomal RNA
Source: RNAcentral